GAUGAACGCUGGCGGCGUGCUUAACACAUGCAAGUCGAACGGAAAGGCUCCUGCUUGCAGGGGUACUCGAGUGGCGAACGGGUGAGUAACACGUGGGUGAUCUGCCCUGCACUUCGGGAUAAGCCUGGGAAACUGGGUCUAAUACCGGAUAGGACGAUGGUUUGGAUGCCAUUGUGGAAAGUUUUUCGGUGUGGGAUGAGCUCGCGGCCUAUCAGCGUGUUGGUGGGGUAGUGGCCUACCAAGGCGUCGACGGGUAGCCGGCCGGCGAGGGGGUACGGCCACAUGGGGAAUGGGAGACGGAGCAGACUACGACGGGAGGCAGCAGUGGGGAAUAGGGCAGAACGGGCGGAGGCAUGAUGCAGCAACGCGGCGUGGGGGAGGAAGGCCUUCGGGUUGGAAACCGAUGUAGCCUGUGAAGAAGCGUGAGUGACGGGAAUGGGGAAAGAAGCACCGGCUAACUACGUG
This 465-nucleotide ribosomal RNA is filed under the name uncultured bacterium. RNAcentral describes it as "partial 16S ribosomal RNA". It matches the Rfam family "Bacterial small subunit ribosomal RNA", at positions 28 to 507 of the family's 1533-position model. The record is from RNAcentral.